GGAAGUAAAAGUCGUAACAAGGUUUCCGUAGCAAGUCCUUGCGUUGGAACAGUGAUUCCUUCCGCAGUGUACACUUAUCGAAGCCUUUGCAGCCACGCAAGUGGCAGGCCCGAACGACUGUAAAUAAAUUGGCGCCGCUGCAAGUCAGCCCCCGGGCUGGCGACACUUUCGAAUUGACGGGGACACCCUAAAGCCGAUCGCACCAACCUGUGGGGGAAACCGCACGGGGGCCCGUGGUAAUGACACGGGGGAUGGUAACAGACGAUCUGGAUAGUUCUGCUUCGGCAGAGAGGAUGGGCAAUCCGCAGCGAAGCCCCUAAGUCCCGUCCCGGGAUACGGGGAACGUCCACAGACUAAGUGGAAGUGGGUGGGAUGCUACCACAUCCUGCUUAAGAUAUAGUCGGGCCCCCUGGGAGACCAGGGGGAGAAGUACACUGCUCAGUCCUUCUGAAUCCCGUUCCGUAGGUGAACCUGCGGAAGGAUCAUUACCGAGUGAGGGUCCCUUGCGGGCCCAACCUCCCACCCGUGUUUAACUAUACCGAGUUGCUUCGGCGGGCCCACUGGGGCCUGUUCCCGGUCGCCUGGGGGGGUGAAACCCCCCGGGUCCGUGCCCGCCGGAGACCCCUUGAACCCUGAGUGAAUCGAGUGUCGUCUGAGUUUGAAUUAAAUCAUUAAAACUUUCAACAACGGAUCUCUUGGUUCCGGCAUCGAUGAAGAACGCAGCGAAAUGCGAUAAGUAAUGUGAAUUGCAGAAUUCCGUGAAUCAUCGAAUCUUUGAACGCACAUUGCGCCCCCUGGCAUUCCGGGGGGCAUGCCUGUCCGAGCGUCAUUGCUACCCUCAAGCGCGGCUUGUGUGUUGGGCGCUGUCCCCCCGGGGACAGGCCUGAAAGGCAGUGGCGGCGUCGCGUCCGGUCCUCGAGCGUAUGGGGCUUUGUCACUCGCUCUGUGGGGUCCGGCCGGGGCCUGUCUACCCAAUCUUUUCUCAAGGUUGACCUCGGAUCAGGUAGGGAUACCCGCUGAACUUAAGCAUAUCAAUAAGCGGAGGA
This 1046-nucleotide ribosomal RNA is filed under the name Sagenomella griseoviridis. RNAcentral's name for it is "eukaryotic LSU rRNA". The stretch from base 676 to 829 matches the Rfam family "5.8S ribosomal RNA". The record is from RNAcentral. Lineage: Eukaryota; Fungi; Ascomycota; Eurotiomycetes; Eurotiales; Trichocomaceae.